RNAcentral lists this ribosomal RNA (512 nucleotides) under Oreina speciosa. Its description in RNAcentral is "partial 16S ribosomal RNA". It matches the Rfam family "Bacterial large subunit ribosomal RNA", at positions 1830 to 2604 of the family's 2925-position model. The record is from RNAcentral. Lineage: Eukaryota; Metazoa; Arthropoda; Insecta; Coleoptera; Chrysomelidae.
UCCUUUUGUAGAUAAUUUAAGGUCUAGCCUGCCCACUGAAAUUUUAAAUGGCCGUGGUAUUUUGACCGUGCUAAGGUAGCAUAAUCAUUAGUUUUAUAAUUAAAAACUGGAAUGAAAGGUUGGAUGAGAAAAUAGCUGUCUCUAUUAAAUUUAAUUAGAAUUUUAUUUUUAAGUUAAAAAGCUUAAUUAUUAUUAAAAGACGAGAAGACCCUAUAGAGUUUAAUUAUUUAGUAAAAAUUAUAUUUUAGUAUUAAUUUAUUUAUUUUAUUAAAUAAUUUAAUUGGGGUGAUUGAAAAAUUUAAUUAACUUUUUUUAUUUAAGAACAUUAAUUUAUGAAUAAAUGAUCCAAUAUUUUUGAUUAUAAGAUAAAAUUACCUUAGGGAUAACAGCGUAAUUUUUUUAGAAAGUUCAUAUUAAAAAAAAAGAUUGCGACCUCGAUGUUGGAUUAAAAUAAAUUUUUGGUGUAGAAGCUAAAAUAUUAGGUCUGUUCGACCUUUAAAAUUUUACAUGAU